This 107-nucleotide small nucleolar RNA is filed under the name Gossypium hirsutum (cotton). RNAcentral describes it as "Plant small nucleolar RNA R71". It matches the Rfam family "Plant small nucleolar RNA R71". From Rfam's summary of the family: R71 is a member of the C/D box family of snoRNAs containing the C (UGAUGA) and D (CUGA) box motifs. Multiple nearly identical copies of this snoRNA have been identified in Arabidopsis, and it is thought to function as a 2'-O-ribose methylation guide for 18S ribosomal RNA. The record is from Rfam by way of RNAcentral. RNAcentral also lists the same sequence under 1 other name. Lineage: Eukaryota; Viridiplantae; Streptophyta; Magnoliopsida; Malvales; Malvaceae.
AUCCCAUGAUAAGGGCAUCUACGUAGUAACUCCUUGAAUCUUUCCCAUGCCUCGUAUAAGGACUCAUCAUCCAAUUGUUGAAAAGUGGUGAUCUCAUUCCUCAACUU